RNAcentral lists this ribosomal RNA (440 nucleotides) under uncultured bacterium. Its description in RNAcentral is "partial 16S ribosomal RNA". It matches the Rfam family "Bacterial small subunit ribosomal RNA", at positions 338 to 795 of the family's 1533-position model. The record is from RNAcentral.
CCUACGGGCGGCAGCAGUGGGGAAUAUUGCACAAUGGGGGAAACACUGAUGCAGCGAAGCCGCGUGAGGGAAGAAGUAUUACGGUAUGUAAAGCUCUAUCAGCCGGGAAGAAAAUGACGGUACCUGAUUAAGAAGCCCCGGCUAACUACGUGCCAGCAGCCGCGGUACUACGUAGGGGGCAAGCGUUAUCCGGAUUUACUGGGUGUAAAGGGAGCGUAGACGGCAGCGCAGGUCUGAAGUGAAAUGCCGGGGCUUAACCCCGGAACUGCCUUUGAAACUGGGCAGCUAGAGUGAAGGAGAGGUAAGUGGAAUUCCUGGUGUAGCGGUGAAAUGCGUAGAUAUUAGGCGGAACACCAGUGGCGAAGGCGGCUUACUGGACUGUAACUGACGUUGAGGCACGAAAGCGUGGGUAGCAAACAGGAUUAGAUACCCCUGUAGUC